RNAcentral lists this ribosomal RNA (468 nucleotides) under uncultured bacterium. RNAcentral's name for it is "partial 16S ribosomal RNA". It matches the Rfam family "Bacterial small subunit ribosomal RNA", at positions 28 to 507 of the family's 1533-position model. The record is from RNAcentral.
GACGAACGCUGGCGGCGUGCUUAACACAUGCAAGUCGAACGGAAAGGCCCUGCUUUUGUGGGGUGCUCGAUUGGCGAACGGGUGAGUAACACGUGAGUAACCUGCCCUUGACUUUGGGAUAACUUCAGGAAACUGGGGCUAAUACCGGAUAGGAUCUCCUGCUGCAUGGUGGGGGUUGGAAAGUUUCGGCGGUUGGGGAUGGACUCGCGGCUUAUCAGCUUGUUGGUGGGGUAGUGGCUUACCAAGGCUUUGACGGGUAGCCGGCCUGAGAGGGUGACCGGCCACAUUGGGACUGAGAUACGGCCCAGACUCCUACGGGAGGCAGCAGUGGGGAAUAUUGCACAAUGGGCGGAAGCCUGAUGCAGAAACGCCGCGUGCGGGAUGACGGCCUUCGGGUUGUAAACCGCUUUCGCCUGUGACGAAGCGUGAGUGACGGUAAUGGGUAAAGAAGCACCGGCUAACUACGUG